RNAcentral lists this ribosomal RNA (1067 nucleotides) under uncultured bacterium. Its description in RNAcentral is "bacterial SSU rRNA". It matches the Rfam family "Bacterial small subunit ribosomal RNA", at positions 338 to 1398 of the family's 1533-position model. The record is from RNAcentral.
CCUACGGGGGGCAGCAGUGGGGAAUAUUGCACAAUGGGGGCAACCCUGAUGCAGCCAUGCCGCGUGUGUGAAGAAGGCCUUCGGGUUGUAAAGCACUUUCAGUUGUGAGGAAUGGUUAGUAGUUAAUACCUGCUAGCUGUGACGUUAACAACAGAAGAAGCACCGGCUAACUCCGUGCCAGCAGCCGCGGUAAUACGGAGGGUGCGAGCGUUAAUCGGAAUUACUGGGCGUAAAGCGCACGCAGGCGGUCUGUUAAGCUAGAUGUGAAAGCCCCGCGCUCAACGUGGGAGGGUCAUUUAGAACUGGCAGACUAGAGUCUUGGAGAGGGGAGUGGAAUUCCAGGUGUAGCGGUGAAAUGCGUAGAGAUCUGGAGGAACAUCAAUGGCGAAGGCAACUCCCUGGCCAAAGACUGACGCUCAUGUGCGAAAGUGUGGGUAGCGAACAGGAUUAGAUACCCUGGUAGUCCACACCGUAAACGCUGUCUACUAGCUGUUUGUGGAUUUAAUCCGUGAGUAGCGAAGCUAACGCGAUAAGUAGACCGCCUGGGGAGUACGGCCGCAAGGUUAAAACUCAAAUGAAUUGACGGGGGCCCGCACAAGCGGUGGAGCAUGUGGUUUAAUUCGAUGCAACGCGAAGACCUUACCAUCCCUUGACAUCCACAGAAAUUUCUAGAGAUAGAUUAGUGCCUUCGGGAACUCUGAGACAGGUGCUGCAUGGCUGUCGUCAGCUCGUGUUGUGAAAUGUUGGGUUAAGUCCCGCAACGAGCGCAACCCCUAUCCUUAUUUGCCAGCGCGUAGUGGCGGGAACUUUAAGGAGACUGCCGGUGAUAAACCGGAGGAAGGUGGGGACGACGUCAAGUCAUCAUGGCCCUUACGGGAUGGGCUACACACGUGCUACAAUGGCGUAUACAGAGUGCAGCGAGACCGCGAGGUGGAGCGAAUCACACAAAGUACGUCGUAGUCCGGAUUGGAGUCUGCAACUCGACUCCAUGAAGUCGGAAUCGCUAGUAAUCGUAGAUCGGAAUGCUACGGUGAAUACGUUCCCGGGCCUUGUACACACCGCCCGUC